RNAcentral lists this ribosomal RNA (420 nucleotides) under uncultured bacterium. RNAcentral's name for it is "bacterial SSU rRNA". It matches the Rfam family "Bacterial small subunit ribosomal RNA", at positions 355 to 767 of the family's 1533-position model. The record is from RNAcentral.
UAGGGAAUAUUGGACAAUGGGGGCAACCCUGAUCCAGCCAUGCCGCGUGAGUGAAGAAGGCCCUCGGGUUGUAAAGCUCUUUUGUCCGGAAAGAAAAGCUUCGGGCUAAUACCCCGGGGUUCUGACGGUACCGGAAGAAUAAGCACCGGCUAACUUCGUGCCAGCAGCCGCGGUAAUACGAAGGGUGCAAGCGUUACUCGGAAUUACUGGGCGUAAAGCGUGCGUAGGUGGUUGUUUAAGUCUGAUGUGAAAGCCCUGGGCUCAACCGGGGAACGGCAGUGGAAACUGGGCAGCUAGAGUGCGGUAGAGGGUAGUGGAAUUCCCGGUGUAGCAGAGAAAUGCGUAGAGAUCGGGAGGAACAUCUGUGGCGAAGGCGACUGCCUGGACCAGCACCGACACUGAGGCACGAAAGCGUGGGGA